RNAcentral lists this small RNA (30 nucleotides) under Bombyx mori (domestic silkworm). RNAcentral's name for it is "ovarian small RNA-3093". Lineage: Eukaryota; Metazoa; Arthropoda; Insecta; Lepidoptera; Bombycidae. The record is from RNAcentral.
UAGUAGUGACACCCGGGUUCAGGUCCCCAA